ACUGCUCAGUAACACGUGGACAACCUGCCCUUAGGUUGGGUAUAAACCCGGGAAACUGGGUAUAAUACCCGAUAGGUCUCGAUUGCUGGAAUGCAUCGAGAUUUAAAGCUCCGGCGCCUAAGGAUGGGUCUGCGGCCUAUCAGGUAGUAGUGGGUGUAGCGUACCUACUAGCCUACGACGGGUACGGGUUGUGAGAGCAAGAGCCCGGAGAUGGAUUCUGAGACACGAAUCCAGGCCCUACGGGGUGCAGCAGGCGCAAAAACUUUACAAUGCUGGCAACAGCGAUAAGGGAACCUCGAGUGCCAGGUUACAAAUCUGGCUGUCGAGAUGCCUAAAAAGCAUUUCAUAGCAAGGGCCGGGCAAGACCGGUGCCAGCCGCCGCGGUAACACCGGCGGCUCGAGUGGUAACCGUUAUUAUUGGGUCUAAAGGGUCUGUAGCCGGCCGGAUAAGUCUCUUGAGAAAUCUGGCAGCUUAACUGUCAGGCUUUCAGGAGAUACUGUCUGGCUCGAGGCCGGGAGAGGUGAGAGGUACUUCAGGGGUAGGAGUGAAAUCCUGUAAUCCUUGGGGGACCACCUGUGGCGUAGGCGCCUCACCAGAACGGCUCCGACAGUGAGGGACGAAAGCUGGGGGAGCAAACCGGAUUAGAUACCCGGGUAGUCCCAGCCGUAAACGAUGCGCGUUAGGUGUAUCGAUGACCACGAGUCAUCGAGGUGCCGAAGGGAAACCGUGAAACGCGCCGCCUGGGAAGUACGGUCGCAAGGCUGAAACUUAAAGGAAUUGGCGGGGGAGCAC
Molecule: ribosomal RNA, 793 nt
Filed under: uncultured archaeon
Lineage: Archaea
Description: bacterial SSU rRNA
Rfam family: Archaeal small subunit ribosomal RNA
Source: RNAcentral